RNAcentral lists this ribosomal RNA (318 nucleotides) under uncultured bacterium. Its description in RNAcentral is "bacterial SSU rRNA". It matches the Rfam family "Bacterial small subunit ribosomal RNA", at positions 28 to 346 of the family's 1533-position model. The record is from RNAcentral.
GAUGAACGCUAGCGGCAGGCCUAACACAUGCAAGUCGAGGGGCAGCACGUCUUCGGAUGGUGGCGACCGGCGCACGGGUGCGUAACGCGUAUGCAACCUACCUCUUACAGUGGGAUAGCCCAGAGAAAUUUGGAUUAANACCGCAUAGUAUACAGAUUCAGCAUUGGGACUGUAUUAAACAUUUAUGGGUAAGAGAUGGGCAUGCGUUCUAUUAGUUAGUUGGAGUGGUAACGGCACCCCAAGACAGCGAUAGAUAGGGGCCCUGAGAGGGGGAUCCCCCGACACUGGUACUGAGACACGGACCAGACUCCUACGGGA